Molecule: long non-coding RNA, 553 nt
Organism: Mauremys reevesii (Reeves's turtle)
Lineage: Eukaryota; Metazoa; Chordata; Testudines; Geoemydidae
Exons: 3
Source: RefSeq, a predicted model, not a curated record
GGCCUUCCCACCCUCUCUGACCCCGCCAGCCAGCGCAGCCAAUCGGCGGCGAGCAGUUUUUCCCACUAGCCAAUCAGGACACGGCCGGCUAGCAGAAUUUCGCUACGGCAACGCUGGAGGAUCACAUAGCGAGAGGCCUAGAUCCGCUGGAUGUAAGAGUCUCAGCGAUUGGCCAGCUCUGUAAAUUUGUCAGUGGUUGGUCACGCGCCCGCGUGAGGGAUAAGGCCUAGAACAGCAGGCCCCAUUUCCUGCCUCAGCGCCCCGUUGUUUCUACGCACUAGUCCGGACCCCUCACGCGACCCGGUACCAGCUGCGGUAUCUGGAGGCUCCUUCGUGGGAGAAUGACAUGGAUAAAAUGUGGGGAUAAAGAACAAAGCCACCCACGUCCGGAACAGAGCCGCCUGUUAACCUCACAGCCUUACCAGAUGGUCACCCUCUGUGUGACUCCGAGCUCGAUUGUUGUGGAGGAUCACCUUGCCCCUGGGCAAGACAUCCAGAUACCAGGGAAGAGAAGGCAGCACUGCUCCGAGUCCCGUCUUCAGCCGAGGACGGU